UUAGCUUACUUCAUAAAAGCUUUAUAUUUUAGAAGCUAGAAGACCUGGAUGCCUCAUACUUUGUAUAUAGAUGCCUUAUGUUACGAAGUUUCCAUCUGUCAUAUGUCCAUUUUCCUUGACCUCAUUUUCAUGGUUCAGUGACUACUUGAAAAAAAAGUCAACAUUUUUUGUUAUGUUAAUUUCUUUCUUGUUAUGAGUAAUAGGAUAACUAUAUUUAUUAUGUGCGUACCUUGCAAGGUCCUCAUGCCCGUCAGACAAAUUUCAUUUGACCUCGACCUCAUUUCAUGGAUCAGUGAACAAGGUUAAGUUUUAGUGGUCAAGUCCAUAUAUCAGAUACUAUAAGCAGUAGGUCUACUAUAUUUGGUAUAUGGAAUGAUUGUAAGGUGUACAUGUCCAACUGGUAGGUGUCAUCUGACCUUGACCUCAUUUUCAUGGUUCAGUGGUCAAAGUUAAAUUUUUGAGUUUUGGUCUUUUUUUCUAAUACUAAAGGCAAUAGGUCAACUAUAUUUGGUGUAUGGAAAUAUUUUAUGAUGUACAUGUUAGUCUUGCAGGUUUUAUUUGACCUUGACCUCAUUUUCACAGUUCAUUUCUCAGUGUUAAGUUUUUGUGUUUUGGUCUGUUUUUCUUCAACUUUAAGCAAUAGAUCAACUAUAUUUGUUGUAUGGAAGGAUUGUAAGGUGUAUAUGUCUGUCUGGCAGGUAUCAUCUGACCUUGACCUCAUUUUCAUUGUUCAUUGGUCAAUGUUAAGUUUUCAUGGUUAAGUUUGUUUCUUAGAUACUAUUAGCAAUAGGUCAACUAUAUUUAAUGCAUACAUUGAUUGUAAGGUGUACAUGUCUGUCUGGCAUGGUUCAUCUGACCUUGACCUCAUUUUCAUGGUUCAUUGGUCAAUGUUAAGUUUUCUUGGUUAAGACUGUUUCUUAGAAACUAUAAGCAAUAGGUCAACUAUGUUUGGUUUAUUGAAUGAUUGUUAGGUGUACAUGUAUUUCUCGUUUGGUUUAUCUGACCUUGACCUCAUUUUCUUGGAUCAUGUUAAGUUUAUGUGUUACGUAGUAAAGCUUUAUAUUUAGGACUGUCAGUAACUGCUAGUAGUCUGUUAUUUAUGUAUUAUUGUCAUUUUGUUUAUUUUCUUUUGUUUCCUAUUCUGACAUCGGACUCGGACUUCUCUUAAACUGAGUUUUACUGUGCGUACUGUUGUACGUUUGUUUUUUCUACAUUGGCUAGAGGUAUAGGGGGAUGAUUGAGAUCUCAAAAAACAUGUUUAACCCCGCCGCAUUUUUGCGCCUGUCCCAAGUCAGGAGCCUCUGGCCUUUGUUAGUCUUGUAUCAUUUUAAAUUUAGUUUCUUGUGUAUAAUUUGGAGUUUAGUAUGACGUCCAUUAUCACUGAACUAGUAUACAUAUUUGUUUAGGGGCCAGCUGAAGGACGCCUCCGGGCGUGGUAGUUUCUCGCUGCAUUGAAGACCCAUUGGUGGCCUUCGGCUGUUGUCUGCUCUAUGGUCGGGUUGUUGUCUCUUUGACACAUUCCCCAUUUCCAUUCUCAAUUUUAUCAACAUAAAAUCAAUGGUUAGUAAAGAAGGCGAGACAUUUCAGCGUGUGCACUCUUGUUACCAUUUUUUUGGCGUUUUUCCUUGUAUGAUAUUAAUUAUAAUAGAUAGAUAGAAACUUAAAUAAUCAAAAAUGAUAAGCAAGACAAGACCUACUAACAAGUCAAAUUUUGCUGAUAUAAUAAGUAGACUGUUACUCUUUAUAGGUGUUUUUUUACCCUCUUUUGUGUUUAGAGCAAAAGCUAAAUAAGAUCAUGAAGAUAAGAGAGAAACUAAACAGACUUCAAUGAUCAGCAAUAUAAGAUACAAAAAAAACCAGAGAUUUUUGUCAUUAAUUCUAUUCUCAUCUACAAUGUUGGAGAGUGUCCCCUGUUGAAUAUGCAUAUAGACCAAGGUGAGCGACACAGGCUCUUGAGAGCCUCUAGUUUUGUCCCAUACAAGAAUAUAUAUGGUUUAGGGGUGGGGAUCUCGACCUUUUACAAGUUCUAACACAGGAGGGGGUGGGGUGACCCCCGGGUACUCGCCUUUUAUUUAAUUUGAUUUGUUUUAUUGUCCCAUACAAGAAUAUAUAUGGUUUCAGGGUGGGGAUCUUGACCGUUUACAAGUUUUCAAAAAGAAAGGGGGUGGGGGUGACCCCCCUGAACUACCCCUAUAUUUCAUUUGAUUUGUUUUAUUGUCCCAUACAAGAAUAUAUAUGGUUUAGGGGUGGGGAUCUCGACCGUUUGCAAGUUCUCAAACAGGAGGGGGUGGGGGUGACCCCAGGGGACUCGCCUUUUAUUUCAUUUAAUUUGUUUUAUUGUCCCAUACAAGAAUAUAUAUAGUUUCCAGGUGGGGAUCUUGACCGUUUACAAGUUUUCAAAAAGAAAGGGGGUGGGGGUGAACCCGGGGACUCCCCCAAUAUUUCAAUUGAUUUGUUUUAUUGUCCCAUACAAGAAUAUAAAUUGUUUAGGGGUGGGGAUCUCGACCGUUUACAAGAUAAAAGCACAUUCUCAAAUUGAAGGAGGGUGGGGGUAAGAAUAUAUAUGGUUUAGGGAGACUUAAUUAUAUACAAAAUGUCUAAUAAUGAACAGUAAAUUUCAAACUUCAUUUAUACAGUCCUACUAGUAAAUUUCAAAUUAUUUACAUACAGUCCUACAGAUCUUAUCAGAAAACAGAAAAUUUUCUAAUAAAUCUGUCACUCCAACAAUUAUCAUAUGCUAAGAUAUUUCCCAGAUCUAAUUAAUAAUGAAAAUCAUACUUGCAAAUCUGAAGUGUUAUUUCCCUUUGAACAGAACUAUGGUUUAACAUAGUACUCUAACAUUACAUAUAUAAUAAUUAAUAAUGCAAUUAACUUCAAAAUGUCUAAUAAUAUAGCUUAUAAUCAUCACCACUUAGGAAAUAGAAAAUUUCAAAUAAAUCUGUCACUCCAAUUUUUAUUGUGAGAUAAGACAUUUACCAUCUGCUUAGUCAUAAUAUGAUAACAAGAGAAAAAUAUUUAAAAAUACCACUUUUGGAUAUUAAAAAUGGCGAUAACUCAAAAAGGAGAAAUACUAAAAUCGUGAAAAUUGAACUUGACCUUCGCCCUUCCCUAGAUUUUCCAUCAAACAUGAUGGAAUUUUGUGAUGGAAAAAAUGCCAUCACAUUCCAUCAUGUUGAUGGAGUAUUGGAACAACUUUCCAUCAACUUUCCAUCAAUGCUGGAAAAUGGUUGAUGGAAAAGGUUUGAUGGAAUUUGUGUUCAUGAUGAUGGAAAAUUGAUGGCAUAAUUUCCAUCUGAUGGAUAAUUGAUGGUAUUUUUGCCAUCUGAUGGAUAAUUGAUGGUAUUUUUGCCAUCUGAUGGAAAACUGAUGGUAAUUUUGCUAUCAGAUGGAAAACUGAUGGAACAUUUUCCAUGUAAUGGAAAACCAAUGGAAUAUUUCCAUUACAUGUAAAAUGCAUAGAAACUUGAUGGAGAAUUGACCAUCAGAUGGAAUUUGAUGGAUGAGUAAGGAGAAUGUCUUUAGAAAAUCUUUCCAUUUAUGGCAUUUUCUGUGAUUAAAUAAACAAUAUUUGUUCUCUGUCGUCUAUAGGUAGUCCUGUUACAUGUGUGUAUCUUUUCAUUCAGUGUCCCAUUGAACUCGCUGUCCUUAAAGUUGAAUUUGUUCAUGGCAAAUUCUGCAAAAUAAAAGUAAAAGAAUCUAGCAUAUAAAAGAAUAAGUUAACAUUGUACAGAUAUAAAGUUAGUUAGUAACAUUUGUUGUCAAUUCUGAAAUUAUCAAAUGAAAAUAACACUUUUUGAAAAGAUUUGUAUUAAUGUGUCACUUGCAGGGUCAAUUUCUAAGAGUGUCAAAUCCUUCUAGAAAUUUAAUAUUCAGAGGUGGAUUUAGGAAAGGGGGCUCCCCCUUUCUGAGCUUUAGGUCUACAUAACUUAUUGCAUAGAAGUUUUAUAAGUCUUACUCCUAAGUAAUGUUGACUUAAUUGCCACCUUCACCACCCUGGUUCAGCAGCUGAUAUAUAACUGUACAAUACAUUAAACCUCAUUUCAGUACUAAAUUAUCAUCAUUAUAAUAAGUGACUGUCCAUAGAAAUAAAGAGGUUGUCCUUUCUUUUUUGUUUAAUAUUUGUUUUUCAUAAUCAUUGUACUAUAACAUAAUGGGUCUUGCCCAUGUUUUAUAUCAUACUUUUGGUGGGUAGUGUAUAUACUAUACAUGUAUAUAUAAAGAUAUAUUGUUUUACCAUUUGUGGAUAUAUAAAUGUCAUAUUGUCAGUCACACCACAGAUCUCUAAUUUUAUAGCAAAAUUACUUUUUCAGAAGUACUAUGUUAUAAAACAAAUAAUGUUUUAAAAUGAUACAAAAUAUGACUCAUGUCCUACACAAUUUUAUGAUAUGUAUAUGCAUAUUUUUUGUGUCAUUUGGUCUCUUGUGGAGAGUUGUCUCAUUGGCAAGCAUACCACAUCUUCUUUAUUAAUACUUUUUAUAAAUCUAUGACCUUCUUUUUUUCUUGACUCUUGAAAGUUAAUAAAACACUUUAAAUGUCACUACUUUGAACUAAAAGAGCAUGCACAUAUAUUCAAAAUUGUGGAAAUUCUAAUACAUUGUACUUACCAAAAGAUAUAAUCCAAAAUAUGUGUACACACUAAUCUUCCUAAAUCCAAGAGACAUAUGUCAUCAGAAGAAGGCAUGUUUACAAAAUGUUCAAAAGAGCCAAAGACCAAAAAAUUAAGUUCAGCGCCUUUUAUGGAGACAAAUACUACAUUCAUACAAAGGCUUUUGUGUAUUUCAAUUGAAAUAAUAGCAAGCUUAUUUUAAAGAUUAUAAUAAGGGAAAAAUUCUCGUCAGUACUUGCCAAACUUCACAAAUUUAAAGUUGUUUAUAAAAGUUAUAUCAUGAAUGAUGGUAACAAUUACGUUUUUUUGGGUAAUCAGUUAUACCGCAUGUUGCUGUUAUUACCAUAGGAAAACAAUCGAGACGUCCAAAAAUAUAUAUAGGCGGUAACACUACACAGUUUUGUACAUACACAUGGCGACACGAAACACAAUCGGAAAUCCAUUUUACGAUAUUAAAUGUUUCAAAACGGAGUUGAAAAUAUUGUGCGCCACGUGGGCACUUACAUUUGUCACUCUAUGCGGCAUUUCUGGUCGAAAAGGGCAAUUGGCGCAAGGCGGAUGUCUUCCCGAUCACUGUGUUUAAUAGCUUAUUUAAAUGGCUGUCAAGUUCCCAUUAAAAAAAAUUGACUUGUAUUUAUUUUAAUGUCAGAUCGUUAAAACUCCUAUCAAAAUUAGAUACUAGUACUUACUACAAGCAAACUUGUUGACCAUUUUUAAUGGCUGCUUAGAUUGUUAAAUUACAGUCAAAAUGGUUCCCACCCCCACCCUCUCCUCCUCAUGUUCACUAAUACCCUUAAGCAUUUCAUUGUCUUAAUUCAAUAAUUGUAUUUAGAUACACAUUGUUCACCAUGGCUUAAUGAUGCUCGCUGUUCAGUUUCAAAUAUAAAUAAAAAUCAGAUAUAAAGGAUACAUGUUAAGUUCUUCUAGACCUCCUUUCUGUAAUUAAAUUUGCUGUUUCUGUACUUCCAACUAGUAUUGCUGAGUAAAGGUAACUGGAAUCUGCAUUCAAUCUGUUUACUAUCAAAAUUGGCAGCUCCAUUUUAAAAUCAUUAAAUACCCUAAAAUAAAAAAAAAAUCCACAAAGAAUCAAUUGUUCAAGGCGUUUUGAAGCAAUAAAUUCAAUAGAAAUAUUAUUGCAUGUUUAUACAGUACAUGGGAAGCCAUUUGGAAUCAAAUUAAUUACCCUCCCCCUUUUUUUAUCCCCUGAAGAUUAAAAACCGGUGACUUAUUAUUUUCACCAAAUAACCAUUCACACAACUCAAUAUUUUUUUACAUGUCUACCAGUUAUGCCUGUUAUGUGACAACAAGAUUAUUCAUUGUCAAAAACUCAUGUUAAAAAUAAAUAUAAUUUUCAGUUUAUGAUUUCAGACUUUCUGAUGUUGAUUUGCUCAAAUAAAAACAAUACAAAAAUCAUAGUUCCUCAAUAAAUUAUAAUUUAUAAUCAUAAUAUACACAUGUUGAAUUAAAUUUUUAAUGCACUUAUCUGAAAACAUCUGCAUCAGAUUUUCCAGUUUGAUCUCCAUAUCAGCGUAAUCACAUUUUGAUGACGUAUUUCUCAAGUGCGCUAACGUCGAAGUGACAAUCUCGCCCCAUAUUAUAUCGACCAGAAAUUGAUCCGUUCCCGUACCGGUAUUGUUGUUGUUGUUGUGCUGGUAUAUUCCUCCGUUGACUUCGGAGCACCCUGUCGUAAACAGGUAUAAGUUUACCAAUUGAAAAGAUUGGUGGUGGUGUUCGGAUAAAAAAAAAAAAAAAAAAAAAAUUAAA
Mytilus californianus (California mussel) is the source of this 6370-nucleotide long non-coding RNA. RefSeq lists it as uncharacterized. NCBI's taxonomy places the organism in Eukaryota, Metazoa, Mollusca, Bivalvia, Mytilida, Mytilidae. The record is from RefSeq and is a predicted model, not a curated record. The transcript has 2 exons.